UACGAAGGGGGCUAGCGUUACUCGGAUUGACUGGGCGUAAAGGGCGCGUAGGCGGCUUAUCAAGUCAGGCGUGAAAUUCCCGGGCUCAACCUGGGGGCUGCGCUUGAUACUGAUUGGCUUGAAUGCGGGAGAGGAUAGUGGAAUUCCCAGUGUAGAGGUGAAAUUCGUAGAUAUUGGGAAGAACACCGGUGGCGAAGGCGGCUAUCUGGCCCGUAAUUGACGCUGAGGCGCGAAAGCGUGGGGAGCAAACAGG
Molecule: ribosomal RNA, 253 nt
Filed under: uncultured bacterium
Lineage: Bacteria
Description: partial 16S ribosomal RNA
Rfam family: Bacterial small subunit ribosomal RNA
Source: RNAcentral